Long non-coding RNA from Chlorocebus sabaeus (green monkey), 2225 nucleotides. RefSeq lists it as uncharacterized. NCBI's taxonomy places the organism in Eukaryota, Metazoa, Chordata, Mammalia, Primates, Cercopithecidae. The record is from RefSeq and is a predicted model, not a curated record.
UCUAAUCCAUUUUUAGUUGAUUUUUGUAUAUGUUGAGAGAUAGGGGGUCCAGUUUCACUCUUCUGAAUAUGGCUAUUCCAUUUUCUCAGCACCAUUAAUUUAAGAGGAUGUCCUUUCCCAGUGCAAGUUCUUGUCAGCUUUGUCAAAGAUCAGUUGGCUAUAAAUCUGUUGCUUUAUUUCUAUGUUCUCUAUUCUAUUCCAUUGAUCAAUGUGGCUGCCCACUAGAUUUUAGUGUGUUCUAAAUUAAACCCCUUUCUCCUCCCAUAAAACUGAUACCUCCUUGAUGAUAAAUCAAGAUGAUUGUUUACAUUGGAAAGCCCUCAGUGCUAAUCCAGGGACAUGGCAAGGGUGUGGAACCCAGUGUGAUUUAUCCCAACUACCUUCCUGCUGUUCCCAGGUAUUUCUUUGAGAUACUGCUCUCAACAGUGACUGGUGUCAACUCAUGUAUAUGUAUAUACCACCUACUGGUGUAACAGUCACAUAUGCAGUUGUGGGAUGCUACAUAAAUGGUGACCGAGCUAGUGAGAGAUUGUGUCAGUUAGGGUAGGCUAAAUUAUAUUGCUGUAACAAAUGCCAUCAAAAUCUCAGUGGCUUAAUACAACAAAAGUAAAUUUCCUCCUCAUGCAAAAUUUCCAGUGCUGCUAUCACAGUGACUCAUUGUUCUAGCCUGCUUCAUUCCUGUGAAUUUCCCUGAGCACCAUGGCAGAGGAAGGAUGCAGGGGACUAUGCACCAAACCUCAAGUGCUUUCACCCAGAAGUGAUAUAGGUCACCUCUCACAUUUCUCUGGUCAAGGAAAGUUACAUGGUCAUUACCUAACUUUAAGGGCUAUGUUUAUGUUUCUAGGAAUCACCAAGAUUCCUAGAAAGUAGGAAUCUUGGUGACUGUGAGUAAUGGCUGCCACAGGGAUCCAUUUCACCUAGGAGGGUUGGGGAUAAAGUUAGACUGAAAUAGUCUAGCUAUAACAGUGGAUAAGCCAUAGGUUACCAGUUCAAGGAAGGUACUCAGUUACUUGUAAAGUCUUUGGGAAACAUUAAUGUUGUUGUUAUCAUUAUAAAAUAUCAUGUAGAAAAACACUUAAAGGUGACAAAUUCUCUCUCUCUGCCUGUCAGGGUUAUCUUAUGAUUUAGCCAAGGUUAGUCUACUCCAGGUAAGAGUGGAGUUUUAUCAUCCAAACUCUUCUGUGACACAGCGUUCGGCAAAGAUCAUCUAUCUUGAUGAUACCCUAGGGCACACACCAACCAUUAGGGCAGAGAUUACGUCAACUAAACUUCCUUCCUGCAUCUCCCUGCGCUUCAUGUGCUUAAAAGAGAUAAAGGACUGAUGGAUGCUGUAAACUCUAAAGUGCUAUGCAGACAUAAGGAAGAUGACUUCAGUCACAGGAUGAAACAAAUGAUGAGAGACUGGAGUCCAGAAGAUCAGCCAGAGGGCAAGUAUCAUGAUCCAGAUGAAAACUGAUAAGGACCUGGCCUAAAACAGUGAUAAUGAUGAUAGAGAGGAGAGAUCACCAAACAUGUGAUCUUCAGUAGGAGUGUGUGUGUAUUUGUGUGUGUGUGUGUGUGUGUGUGAGAGAGAGAGAGAGAGAGGUUAUUCCCAGGUUUGUAGCUAGCCAGUCUAAGUAGAUAGAACUGUUACUAGAGACAGUGAAAUGGGAUAUCAAGCAUGAUACUGAGUUCACUUUAGGACAUGUCAAGUCAGAGGUCCUUAAGGGAUUCUGGAAAGAUGUCUAAUGGGUGGUUUAAAUAAAAAUCUUAAGCUCAGGAGAGCUUAAAGAUACGGAUUUUGCAGUAGCCUUAAUUUCUCAAUCUGUAGCCCUUUCUACAACAGCUGACCUUAAAACAUAGCCCUUCCUUUAAAGACAAAUUAAUGUAACAGCUUAACAUUUAUAAUUAUUUAUAAUGAAAAUGAUUAAGAAUCAACUACUGCAUUGUAUAAUGGUAAUGGCAAUACCUCAUUACCAAGCAGACAAUGUUAGAAUUUUAAGUGGACAUUUAGGCUAGUUUUACACUCUAAUGACCUCUUUAAAAGUAUAUCAUUCUUUUCUGGUUUUCCAUGUUUACUAUUUUGUUAUUCCUCAAGGGUUCUCUAGACUGCAGUAUAUUGUAAGAUAGUCUGUCUUGCAUCACCUAAAACCUUGUGCAAAUGGGUCAUUUCUUUUCUUUCAUUGUGCUACAGAAAUAAUGAUUUUUCUGAUCCUGCCUUUCCUUCUUUUUUCUUGAGACAGAGU